Molecule: long non-coding RNA, 636 nt
Organism: Python bivittatus (Burmese python)
Lineage: Eukaryota; Metazoa; Chordata; Lepidosauria; Squamata; Pythonidae
Source: RefSeq, a predicted model, not a curated record
GCGUCUGGCCUGCAGAUGCUAUCCAGCCAGUUUUGUGAGGAAGAUGACAACUCCCAAGACAUGAAUGCUGCACAAUUGGCCUGUGAACUCCCCUGAAGCCCAUCCAGACAAAUUUUGCAGAUGCUAUGGCACCAGUUACUGAAAACACAACUAACAGCAAACCGCAGGCAGAUGCAAGCAGACAGAUGUUUCUGCAAGUGGAAGACAUGAGAGCGUUCUGUACGUGGAGUGGUGGGGUAAAGGGCCAGCAAGGGAGUUGGGGCUGAAUCGUGGCAUUGUUGCCCAAAAUGAAGCUUUCAGAGGGAAAAAGCACACAGAACAGGGGAGGAAGAUGAGUCUGCACUUUGCUUCCUCGGAUGGACUGGCUCGUUGGUUCCUUUCUUUCCCCGGUACCCCUUCUCCACUUGACCUUGCUUCUGAGAGACUGAGGACCUUGUAGUGGAAGGUGAAUAUGAAAUGAUGCACAACCCCAACAUUUAUGCAGUGUGGCCUACUAGGUCCCUUAAAAGGCUGUUGCCUGGGCCAAAUUGGCUGUCCACUUUUCAGUGGGAGCACAGAAGAUGUCUAAGUGGAGGACCUUCUUCACCAAGAAGAAAUGCAACUCAGAACUUUUCCUGGAUCCACUGUUUGGGGGGG